UCCGGUGACCAUAGCAAAGGGGAUAUACCCGUUCCCAUCCCGAACACGGAAGUGAAGUCCUUUAGCGCCGAUGGUACUUGAGUUUACCUCUGGGAGAGUAGGCCGUUGCCGGA
This 113-nucleotide ribosomal RNA is filed under the name Peptococcaceae bacterium BICA1-7. Lineage: Bacteria; Bacillati; Bacillota; Clostridia; Eubacteriales; Peptococcaceae. The record is from RNAcentral.